ACGAACGCUGGCGGCAUGCCUAACACAUGCAAGUCGAACGAGACCUUCGGGUCUAGUGACGCACGGGUGCGUAACGCGUGGGAACCUGCCCUUAGGUUCGGAAUAACUCCCCGAAAGGGGUGCUAAUACCGGAUAAUGUCUUCGGACCAAAGAUUUAUCGCCUUUGGAUGGGCCCGCGUUGGAUUAGCUAGUUGGUAGGGUAAAAGCCUACCAAGGCGACGAUCCAUAGCUGGUCUGAGAGGAUGAUCAGCCACACUGGGACUGAGACACGGCCCAGACUCCUACGGGAGGCAGCAGUGGGGAAUAUUGGACAAUGGGCGAAAGCCUGAUCCAGCAAUGCCGCGUGAGUGAUGAAGGCCUUAGGGUUGUAAAGCUCUUUUACCCGGGAUGAUAAUGACAGUACCGGGUGAAUAAGCUCCGGCUAACUCCGUG
RNAcentral lists this ribosomal RNA (432 nucleotides) under uncultured bacterium. RNAcentral describes it as "partial 16S ribosomal RNA". It matches the Rfam family "Bacterial small subunit ribosomal RNA", at positions 29 to 507 of the family's 1533-position model. The record is from RNAcentral.